Molecule: ribosomal RNA, 775 nt
Filed under: uncultured Neocallimastigales
Lineage: Eukaryota; Fungi; Neocallimastigomycota; Neocallimastigomycetes; Neocallimastigales
Description: partial large subunit ribosomal RNA
Rfam family: Eukaryotic large subunit ribosomal RNA
Source: RNAcentral
UGUACACGCUGUGACUAGCAUAUCAAUAAGCGGAGGAAAAGAAACUAACAAGGAUUCCCCUAGUAACGGCGAGUGAAGCGGGAAGAGCUCAAAUUUGAAAUCUUAAAGGGUUUCCCUUUACGAAUUGUAGUUUAAAGAAGUGUUUUCUGUUGAGGUUUUGGUAAAAGUUCUUUGGAAUAGGACAUCAUAGAGGGUGAGAAUCCCGUAUUUGACCUUUACUUUCAACUUUGUGAUACACCUUCAAAGAGUCGGAUUGUUUGGGAAUGCAGUCCAAAAUGGGUGGUAAAUUUCAUCUAAAGCUAAAUAUUGGCGAGAGACCGAUAGCGAACAAGUACCGUGAGGGAAAGAUGAAAAGAACUUUGAAAAGAGAGUUAAACAGUACGUGAAAUUGUCAAAAGGGAAGCGUUUGACACCAGUGUUGUUUUUCUGAAAAUCAAUUAAAGAACUGUUUAUGCUAAGCUGUUUAGACUUUAUCAGCUAUCUGUUUAGUUUUGAGCUUUUCUUUAAUGCACUUUUCAGUUAACAAGUCAACAUCAAUUUCUUUUGCUGUAAAAAAGCUUGAGGAAGGUGGCUUGAGAUUCGUCUUAAGUGUUUAUAGCCUCUUGCCUAUGCAGUCGGAGAGAUUGAGGUCUGCAGCGUAGAUCCUUCGGGGCUAAAUGCAUUUGUGCUAAGUUAUAGCAUUUCAUAGACAACUUGUUGACUAUGAUUUGUCUUGUAGCUUACUCGCUUAUGUUAUUUUACCUACGCUUAGGAUGUUGACGCGCGUGUGUGCGUG